Molecule: transfer RNA, 86 nt
Filed under: Rhodospirillaceae bacterium
Lineage: Bacteria; Pseudomonadati; Pseudomonadota; Alphaproteobacteria; Rhodospirillales; Rhodospirillaceae
Description: tRNA-Leu
Rfam family: tRNA
About the family: Transfer RNA (tRNA) molecules are approximately 80 nucleotides in length. Their secondary structure includes four short double-helical elements and three loops (D, anti-codon, and T loops). Further hydrogen bonds mediate the characteristic L-shaped molecular structure. tRNAs have two regions of fundamental functional importance: the anti-codon, which is responsible for specific mRNA codon recognition, and the 3' end, to which the tRNAs corresponding amino acid is attached (by aminoacyl-tRNA synthetases). tRNAs cope with the degeneracy of the genetic code in two manners: having more than one tRNA (with a specific anti-codon) for a particular amino acid; and 'wobble' base-pairing, i.e. permitting non-standard base-pairing at the 3rd anti-codon position.
Source: RNAcentral
GCGGGUGUGGUGGAACUGGUAGACGCGCCAGACUCAAAAUCUGGUGUCCCUAGGACGUGUCGGUUCGAGUCCGACCACCCGCACCA